This 258-nucleotide ribosomal RNA is filed under the name unidentified marine bacterioplankton. RNAcentral's name for it is "partial 16S ribosomal RNA". It matches the Rfam family "Bacterial small subunit ribosomal RNA", at positions 79 to 339 of the family's 1533-position model. The record is from RNAcentral. RNAcentral also lists the same sequence under 1 other name.
UUAUAUUGUCAGCUAAGUGGCGCACGGGUGAGUAAUAUAUAGUUAAUCUGCCCCAAAGAAGAGAAUAAUUGUUGGAAACGACUUGUAACGCUCUAUAUGCCUUUAUUACAUAAGUAAGCAAGGGAAACAUUUAUGGCUUUGGGAUGAGACUGUACGGUAUCAGCUAGUUGGUGAGGUAAUGGCUCACCAAGGCUAUGACAUCUAACUGGUUUGAGAGGAUGAUCAGUCACACUGGAACUGAGACACGGUCCAGACUCC